AGCGGCGGACGGGUGAGUAACGCGUGGGUAACCUGCCUCAUACAGGGGGAUAACAGUUAGAAAUGACUGCUAAUACCGCAUAAGACCACGGUACCGCAUGGUACAGUGGUAAAAACUCCGGUGGUAUGAGAUGGACCCGCGUCUGAUUAGCUAGUUGGUAAGGUAACGGCUUACCAAGGCGACGAUCAGUAGCCGACCUGAGAGGGUGACCGGCCACAUUGGGACUGAGACACGGCCCAA
Molecule: ribosomal RNA, 240 nt
Filed under: uncultured bacterium
Lineage: Bacteria
Description: partial 16S ribosomal RNA
Rfam family: Bacterial small subunit ribosomal RNA
Source: RNAcentral